UACAAUUCCCUUUCUGCUGUACCU
This 24-nucleotide non-coding RNA is filed under the name Arabidopsis thaliana (thale cress). The record is from RNAcentral. Lineage: Eukaryota; Viridiplantae; Streptophyta; Magnoliopsida; Brassicales; Brassicaceae.